This is a small RNA of 62 nucleotides. It matches the Rfam family "RAGATH-18 RNA". Rfam says of the family: Actinobacteria, Firmicutes, Fusobacteria, Thermotogae (1 example). The record is from Rfam.
CCUGUUAAGAGUCAUAUCAAAUGGUAGUAGCUUCGGCAAACCCAGAUUCGUUGAAGCAGGAA